AACAUUUCUCCUGCUGACCAGCAACUAUAUUGGGACUAUAGUCUCCUCCAUUGAGAGCUAGUCAUCUCUUGUGGUGCAAUAAUUAGGACACAGUGACCAAGAGGCUUGCCCUAGAUUUGUCCAUGUUGUCCAGGGAAACAUUUUCUUACAACAUUUUUAUUUCAGGGCAUAGCUGGAGACUUGUAUGGCCUCGUAAUUAAGAUUCCUAUCACUUUCUCAUUCCAGAUUAUUUUUCCAACCAGCAAAGGCCACAAUAACGAAACCUGCAUCCUUUCAGUCAGUACCCUCCACCCAUUAACUUCUAUAGUUGUCAUGUCAAGAAUAUAGAAAGUCUAGUAGUCUAGUUUCAGUAGCACUGACAUCGUUGACAAUAAGGAUGUGUGAGAGGGAAACUUUUCUGUUUCGUGAGGAUGAUAAAAUGCCAACCGAAACAUCUCACCGGAUGUGAGUGAAUUAAGAAUAUUGUGAAUCUUCUAGCAUGAAAGUAGAGAAAGAGAGAAUUUCAUAACUUCACUGACAGCUGUCACAUCCCAAGUUGCAACAAUGUUCACAAGUUGCACACAUUCUUUUGGAAACAUUAACAUGUUGAUGAUGGGUAUCUCCUUAUUUUGGUUUAGUUUAGCCCCAGCAGAAGGUGUAAACAUCCAACCGUGUAAUGAUGACGGCUUCGUAGAAGUACUGGCAGGACAAAAGACUCUGAUUACAUGCAGGGCUGAAGGACGAGUGGUGUGGAGACUUACAGUUGGGUUACAUAAUUUUAGCCAGUACUUCCCGUUGGCAGAAUGUACAGAACACGUUUGUAAUAGUUCGGGAUACUUUACCGAAAUAUUUCAAGCGAAAGUUCUAGACCCUCACAAUAAAACGAUUUCCAUUAACGCUGGGAACACAUCCAUCAGUAGUAAUAUUAUACUUGUCAACAGUAUUCUGGAAUGUGUUCAUAAUGCUGGAACUUUCAACGCAGAAUCAUCUACCUGUGUGAUCAACUAUGUUUUUCCAUCAGAAAAUGUGUCAUGCAACGCAGUCACAACCUCUUGGAAUGUCCACGUGUCAUGUGUCAUCGGCAGUGUGUUCUCUUCGAGGAAAAUGUACGAGUGUCACCUUUAUCGUCUUAAAAGCUCGAUGGAGAGCUUGCAGUCUGUGACCAUGGUGACGUCACCAACCAAAGAGAGGGUCACGACAGGUGAAGUGAAGGUGUCAGGCUCCUGUCAGUUCAUCUUAACACUUUCAGAAGAAGCAGACUUCUUUGUGGCUGUCUCACCAGGCGACCGUAGCUACUCUGUCAAAUUUCCAGCUCAUGACAAAAAGAUAGAUGAAACUAAAGGUAAUAUUCUACUUGCCGCAAUACGUUUCUAAGUUUAGCAUUUAAAAAGAAAAAGUGUACAGGGUUGUACGAAUUACAACCUGUUUCGCUCACGAGACAGUCAAAGCUUGAACGAAAAAAAGUGAAGCCCCGAUUAGAUCCCAUUUACUUGGAAUACGAAACUAUAUUAGACCAAUAAAAAUAAAAAUUUAUGAGCUAUUAUAUACUUUUCAACCUCACGUUUAUGCUAAUCACCAAAACCUCUUAAAUUACAACAGAAAAAAAAACAAUUUGUUAAUGUCUUGAAAACAAAGACUGAGCUUAGUAAUUAAUAAUUCUGAAUAUGAGAAAAAAGAGAAUAGAAUUAAAUAGUGUUUAAUGACUACAUUUACUCUCAAGAGACUGUUUUGGGUUAGAGGUAAUUCUGUUUUUGUGCUUAGUACAAACGGCCUAUAUGACUAUAUGGCUAUCAUAAAGAUAACAAUUUAAAGUUGCUAUUUCCUACUCAAACAGCGGGGAAGGUUUCCUAAUUUCCGUGUUUAAAGCAACAUAAGUACUUGCCUGCUGAUCAAGAUCAUAAACCAAUUUAAGUUUCGUUCGCUACGAUUGGUGGAUUCGUAAGUCCUGUGCUAAAUAAUACAGGACUUACAUGUCCAAAAAAAAAGGGAAACAUUUCUAGAGAGCAGCAAAGAAUGUGUUGACACAGUCCUCCCAAGAUGCUCUCUACACAAGUCACGGCCCUGAGCUUCAGGGAAAGGUUAAUGUAGUUCUUCUACAUUUUAACUACGAGACUGUGACAGCUGGAAGCUCUCAAGAUUCACUGAGAACCAUUGUAACAGCUGGAAGCGAGAAUGAACAACAUCGACAACAAGCUGAGUGAAAACUCGUACUUAGCUGCUGAUGACAAAUUGAGCUGUCUGCAAAGAGCUGGUCACGUGACAUCAGUACCAAGGAGAGGCAUUAUACCAGGUUGUCAGAGGUUUUUUGACAUGAUGGCUCGGAAUGAUCAAGUUUCGAAGCACAAGAACAGAACUGAACGUUGGUAUCCUACCCUGUACCACACCAAAGCUGAGACUGGUUUGUAUGCCCAACAAUAAACGGCAGUAAAGAAGUUGGACGUUUAGAUAUCAUGGAUAUCUGUGAUGAUGUAGAACUUUGUUUCACUCAGUAAAUGACUCACGUGGAAGGAAAAACAAUUAGUAUUGUAGUCUGACUAUGUGGGGCAAUGCCAAUGAAAACAUUAUAAACUUUAUCCAUGACCAAUGAAACGCUCACACAUCUAGAAACAUUUCUAUUUUACACCAAUUUUGCACAGAGUCUUUCAAGUCAAUUUUUAUAUCAAAAGUGUACAGCAAGAAAAAAACUCACUCAAAAACAACAAUAAAAAACAACAAAAUAACAAUUAAACAGUCUCCAUAUAAACAUAAUAUUUUUUUCCUUGUACACAACCUUUGAUUGGACUGAGAUGUCGUGAUAUUUUAUGAAUCUAUUUCAAAAUGUUAUAUUCGUAAUUGCGGACAUUUUUUAAAAUUUAUUCCUUAGAUUGUAACGGGUUUUCUUGGCUUCAAAAGCCGUUGUGUGGAGGUAAAAGGACGCUACAUCAUUAAAUCAAAAUAAAUCUUGUUAACGUUUAACUGUGGCUUGCUAACUACUAAUGAAUAUUAAGCAGCACUUUGUGAACUUCAAGGAAGUUAAAGUGGGUUUAUUGUUUAGAGAAACUGCUCAUUUUGAAAUAAUUGAAAUCUGACUUCUGGUAAAUAGGCGUAAGUGCUUAUGAGAGGUGAACAGGCGGAAUACUCUACUCAUAAAUAAACGACAUUACAUGAACUUAAAAUGUUAUUCAGAAACUCAUCACACAUAGAGAUGAACCUGGUUUUUUUUUAGGAACCCUUCUUUAUGACAAGGGUUAAGUUAGCUUGAAAGGGAAGUUAACUUAUUGUCCAUUAUUUCGGUUUCAAGAACAAGGUUUGUCGAUAUUCUGUGAACUAUAAACUAUAAAUUCUAUAAACUAUAUUUCUCCACAUAAGUAGUCUCAGGGGAAGAGGGCUGAUUUCUCCUGAUAAUUUUAGUCGAUUGUGAAAUUUCACGGUGGACAUCAAUAUUCCUUAACAAACUUCUGUAUAUGAGUUUGAUUAUCUUCCUCAUUAGAUUGUUGGAUGGUAUUACUGGGUUACUAAUUUGCUUCCUAGUUUUUGAGGUUUGCAGCACGCCAUGAUCUCUAUACAGGAUCCAAGUUUUCCUAAUAUUUCGCUAAGGUUUUUAAGGUAUUACAUUACUGAGCGAUGUAGGUUCUUCUAAAUUUCUAUAAUGAAAGUUCAUUUGCAAUCUAUGCGAGAUUUUACGCUUGUGUUAGUCAUUUUAACAUUGGGAGGUAUUAUGUCCUACCCGUAUUAAAUGGAAUAAAGAUGAUGUUCUUACAUAUGAGUAAGAACAUACAAAAACUAUUUUACACAUGAGUAAAAACAGAAGUGGACUAUUGUUCUUACAUUUCUGAUCUUCCAAUGGGCAUUUUACAUCACGAAAGAAGCCACAAGUUCUAUGGAGCAUUGGCUAUAUGCACGUCAUCAUAACAAAUCCUCAUCGUCAAACUUUACCAUUCCUUUUCUGAGCUAAAUUAUAGGAAGAUAUUAUCAGUGUCUUUCGUGGUCUUAUUCUAAUCCUGUUUAGAGAUAUGUUCACAGAUAAUCCCUUUUCUUGAAAAGGCUUAGCCCAUCUAAAACGGAUGAGCAAACUCUUACAGUUGAUCUUAAGGAGUUUACCCGCCAGUCCAUUCGUUGAUCACGUGACAAACAGUUUCUGAGCUGGUGUCCUUCAGUUAAGUUUUAUUAUGUACCUUCCAAUAAAAUGUCAAUGACAAAUCAUUUUUUCUUAAUCUAGAUAUAAUUUUUUUCUUUACAUAUUUUCUGCUUUUAUUGCCGGCAUUGUCAGAGCCCUCUUUUUCGGAAACUUUGAUCGCAGUUUUUGAACACCUUUUGCCCUUGUUACUUUAACCUUUUAAUCUCAUACAAAGGGUUCAAAAGCUAUUAGCAGCAGGUGCUUGGUGCUUCCUUCAAAUCCCAAAAGAGCCGAGAUUUUCGUAAACCUGCACACGGAACAGUUCUGAUUUCGAAAAAAAAUUCACACUGAAUCCAAAUUACAUUGAUUAAUAAAGGUUCCGGAGCAAAACGGCUACAAUUUGGUUUCAGUACAGGGUUUGGAGAAGACGACAAUGGCCGUGACAAGUUAAUGAUUAGACUUUGGUGAUAAAUGCAAUAUACAAGUAUUAAUAUCUUGUUAUAUUUCCACAAGAGGCAUAAAGACUUAUGAGGGUAGAGAUAUGAACCUCAUUACUCAACCAAUAAUUUGAUAUUAGACCUACCUCUUCAUAUCUUUGAUUUUCGUGAGAGGUGAUUUUUGACUUUCAGUAAAUUUCGUAAUUUUUCGCCAAAUUUGUCACCAUUUCUUUUCCUUACCUGCUAUGUUUGUCGUAUUGGAAUGUAAGCUCUCGACAUUUUAACACAAUAUAUUUGAAAGAAACUAUAUUCUUUUGAAAACGUAGCACGCUUGUUGAUUUUUUUCUGUUAAUACAGAUUUUGUUGUGCUAAGUGAUGGGAAACACAUACAUAAUUUCCCAUUGGCAUUGGCACUCUCAGCUCUGUAGCAAGCUGGCAUUAGAUUAUUCUUGGUGUCCACCUUGCACACCUAAGCACGAUAGCCGUGAGCUUUACCUCUGACCUUAUCCACAACAGCGUAUGCUACUUCAUCUUCUGGUGGGAGUUUUGGCUCAGCAUCUAAACAUCACAAUUUACUUGUCUGAGCUCCGAAAAAACUGAUUCCUAAUGUAGAUUCCCUUUAAUCACCUUCCCUUAACCUUUAAAGUUAAGGCAUCCUGUAUUUUCUUCUUUCAUUUUCCGAUGUGUCACGUGGUAAAGUAUCUCACCUGCUGAGUGAGGAGCUUGAUUCACUCAGUAGAGUGCAAGGUGGGAUACAUUCGUUGCUUUUGGUACUUCAACUGUAAUCUGGGAAAUACUGCUUUUCCCGUCAGGUGACCAAUAUUAUAUAACUGCUUUGCUCAAAAUAUUUAUUUAUAACAUGGGAGAUACUUACUAUGUAUCUUGAGCGCUGAAAGCAUGCUUUUUUGGUAAGAGUGAUAAUGCACUUUAUAAUUAUUAUUACUAUUAUUAUUAUUAGUAGUAGUAGUAGUAGUUAUUAUUAUUAUCAUUAAACUGUGCAAAGCAGUUUCAACAAGAUGAAGAAGCAAAUUUGGAGUUUGAUCUUCAAUUAAAUCAUAAACCGUCUAAAAUGUCAAAUAACAAGAAAUGACAUAAAUAAAUAAAUAAAUAUACGACAGCUUGCUGUAAAUCUUCGAUAGAAGAUAAUGUUCAUACAAACUCAUGGUCGAGGAUUCAACAGUUGACAUACUAAGCACAACAAAGCAGAGAUUAUAAUUAUGCAUUUUUGCGUUUGUUUAACAAAUGUAGGAUCUGAUUAACAACAGUCUAUGAUACAAUAGUAUGUGCUUGCAUGAAAUCAUUGGUUUGCAAGACAUUGGGCUAUAAAGUAUCUACUCAUUGGCUGAUAAUGCCCAUGAGAGGAGUUGUUCUGAUAUCGACUGUUUCGGUGUUUGUAUUCGGCAUCUCUCUCAACUUAACGGUAUCUUUGCAUGACUUUAGUGCUGCAUAGACAGACAUCUUCAAAGAUCACACCGUGAGAAUAUUUAUAUAGUAUCUACACUGUUGGCUUCAGAUUAAUUAAACAGCCUUAAACACUCCUACCACGCACGUGCACACACACACACAGAUUAAAGCUUUUCGAGACAAUCUCGAUUGCAUGAACAUUUCCAGAUCGUCUAAACAUUGAAACUGAUAUCGUAUACCGGACCUCUACAACUAAAAUAUACUUAUUUUUUAGAGAUGGAUAUUCGGUGCAGUUUACAAUCAUGAAAUUGUAACAAAUCACCAAUUUGUGUCCUACAUGAUGCGAGAGUUUUUUGUUAUUCACAAAUAAGGUUUGCAAUCAGUGCAUUUGACAGGGAGCUCAACCUUGUUGCUCUUAAUUAUUAACAAAGCCUCCAGGGAUGAGAUGUUUUUGUUAAAUAAGCAUAGUGUUGCAUGUGUUGUACGAAUACUCUGAUUAGAUUUCAGAGCUUAAUUUUUCUAUUGAAUUUUUUGUCAUCUGCAGUUUGAUGUGCUUGUGUAUACAUGCCCAUUACAUGAUCAGCAGCUUGACUUUAAAUAAUCAAGGUGCUUUUAAUUUUAAAAAA
RNAcentral lists this unclassified non-coding RNA (6542 nucleotides) under Pomacea canaliculata. Its description in RNAcentral is "uncharacterized LOC112568874, transcript variant X2". Lineage: Eukaryota; Metazoa; Mollusca; Gastropoda; Architaenioglossa; Ampullariidae. The record is from RNAcentral.